This 292-nucleotide long non-coding RNA is filed under the name Mytilus galloprovincialis (Mediterranean mussel). Lineage: Eukaryota; Metazoa; Mollusca; Bivalvia; Mytilida; Mytilidae. The record is from RNAcentral.
ACAGCUAACUACACUCAAAUGAACAUAGUCAAAAGUCAGUUGGUGAUUUUUUAUUUAUAUAACUUUGAAGCAACCAGGCAAAUAGGUAUGCCAAAUAAAAUAAAAGAGAAUUCAUGACAAAAUGUGCAUUAUAUUUCUGUUUAUGCAUUUGCAUUUCAAAGGGAUACAUUUUCAGAUCGUUCUGAACAUGCACGGAAUAUAUGCCACCGGGUGUUAAGCCAUAGACCAACAACAUUAAAUUCUAAUAUGACGUGCUUCUUUUGCUUUGUGAACAAACCCAUGCCCUAAAUCA